UGUAUAUAUGACUCUGUAUAUAAGUUUUUUGUUUGUUUGUUUGUUUGUUUGUUUGUUUUUCCUGGACAACUGAAUCAUAGAGUCAUAGAAUCAUAGAAUGGCCUGGGUUGUAAGGGACCUCAAAGAUCAUCUAGUUCCAACCCCCCUACCAUAGACAGGAACACCACCCACUUGCUCAGGGCCUCUUCUAACCUGGUCUUGAGCCAGGGAUGGGGCAUCCACAAACUCUCUGGAAAACCUGGUCCAGUGUGUAAACGCUAUUUUUGACUACUCCUUUUUAGACUUGAAAUACAUACACACAAGAAACAUAUUUCUUUCAGUCCAGAUAUGAGCAUGGGUCUGCACAAAAAUAGCAAUUAAUUUAUUCAGAAUCUCAGUUUUAUAUUGUAUACUGACAUUGACAAGCACAUUUCUGGAGGCUUAAGUGUACUAUGCUACAUAUGUAGGUGGAGAUUGGUACUAAAAAAAAAAAUGAGGACACAAAAUAGGAUCUUUCUAACACUUAAACUGGCACCUUGGCUAGUAAUACAAUUACAUGUCCUUCAUGAAGUUGAAGAACUGAGAUUUAUCGUGAUUAAUUUUGGACACAGACCACAGGAAAUAC
Molecule: long non-coding RNA, 604 nt
Filed under: Anas platyrhynchos platyrhynchos (common mallard)
Lineage: Eukaryota; Metazoa; Chordata; Aves; Anseriformes; Anatidae
Description: lncRNA (ENSAPLG00000018443.1)
Source: RNAcentral